This 431-nucleotide ribosomal RNA is filed under the name uncultured bacterium. RNAcentral's name for it is "bacterial SSU rRNA". It matches the Rfam family "Bacterial small subunit ribosomal RNA", at positions 340 to 786 of the family's 1533-position model. The record is from RNAcentral.
UACGGAAGGCAGCAGUGGGGAAUCUUGCGCAAUGGGCGAAAGCCUGACGCAGCCAUGCCGCGUGAAUGAUGAAGGUCUUAGGAUUGUAAAAAUUCUUUCACCGGGGACGAUAAUGACGGUACCCGGAGAAGAAGCCCCGGCUAACUUCGUGCCAGCAGCCGCGGUAAUACGAAGGGGCUAGCGUUGCUCGGAAUUACUGGGCGUAAAGGGCGCGUAGGCGGAUCGUUAAGUCAGAGGUGAAAUCCCAGGGCUCAACCCUGGAACUGCCUUUGAUACUGGCGAUCUUGAGUAUGAGAGAGGUAUGUGGAACUCCGAGUGUAGAGGUGAAAUUCGUAGAUAUUCGGAAGAACACCAGUGGCGAAGGCGACAUACUGGGCUCAUUACUGACGCUGAGGCGCGAAAGCGUGGGGAGCAAACAGGGAUUAGAUACC